RNAcentral lists this long non-coding RNA (2801 nucleotides) under Zostera marina. Its description in RNAcentral is "long non-coding RNA (ZMAR_LNC000564)". Lineage: Eukaryota; Viridiplantae; Streptophyta; Magnoliopsida; Alismatales; Zosteraceae. The record is from RNAcentral.
AACUUUUUCUUGUAUUUCGAGACGUCUUUUUGACUCUCGUUACACUUGUUCUGAAAAUGAAAACAACAAUGAGUUCGGUAAUCAACAAAAUUAUUAAAAUAUAUUAUAAAUACCUCCAAUGCUUUGAAUUUUUCCGACCAUACUGCAUCUGGUGGUGCUUCAACAGUCGUGCUCUCUGAGAUCGGCUCUUUUCCUUUCCAAUUUGGAGCAGCCCAUCUUUCGUUUGUUGUGCUCACCAUACUUGCAGCUUCUCCGAUUCCAAUUAUUCGAUUCUUCUUACUUUUGCCGAAAGUCUUGUUGACCGUCGCUUCGAUAAAUUGCUGUAUUAUAAAUAAAAAAUAAGAAAAACAAAAUAUAAUUAAAAUAAUCAAUGGAACUUACAAUUGGAGUCAUUGAUUCUGAUUCAGCCCACGAUUUUGCCUCUGGAGUUUUGAUAAAAUCCGUGGCUUCAAGCUGAAAGAAUAACAAAAUCAAACAAUGAAAAUAGAAAUUAGAAAAUAUAAAUAAUUUUUAAAAAAUACUUACAACUUUAUCGCUUCCUUUAUAAGUCAUUUGUAAAGUCUCUGACCAAGCUUCGACUUCACUCCUUCCUUGUUGCAUCUAUAUUCACAUAAAUCAUUAAUAUAUAAAAAAAAAUAUAAAAAAUAUAAAUAAAUUACCAAUUCAUUGUUAAAAAAUAUAAUUAACACAUUUAUAAUUACAUGCAAAUUAAUCAAUUACAAGUGUAAGACAAAAUAAUUAAUUUAAUUACUUAAUUUAUUAAAAACAGUUAAUUAUUUAUUUAUUUAUUUAUUAUAAAUUUAAUUAAAAACAGUAAAUAAAAUAUUUAAUUUCAUUAUUUUCUACAUUGUCUAAAAUCAGUAAUUAUUUACUUAAAUUAGAAACACUUAUUAUUUAAAUUAAAUAAAUCAUUAAAAUUAAAACAAAAUCUUCACAUUUCAUAAUUAUUAUUAAAUCAUGCAUUGAAAUUCUUAAAUAUCAAAAACACAACAUGAUAAAUUCUUAUUCAUAUAUUGAAAUCAAAACUAAAAUAGUAGACACAUGCAUCUUCAUCAUAAACUAUAACAAAACCACCUUGAAAUCAAAACAUCAAACCAUUCAAAUAAACAUAAACAUGCGAGCAACAAAUAGAUAAACAAAAUUCGAGCAACAAACCAAAAUAAGAGAUACAUAGAAAAAGAAAUAAAGAGAUAAUAGGAAAUUGAGAAACAAAAACCAAAACCCAAAUAGUCAAACCAAAACCAAAUUAACAAUACUCAAUCCUCAAUCAAUACAUUUACAAUCCUCAAUCCUCAAAUAUAGAUAAACCAUUUACAAUCCUCAAUAUUCCUCAAAGAAAUUACUGCCUAGGAACACAGCUACACAAGGCAUGUUUAACAUUUGUAUUUGUAUUUGUAUUUGAUUUAAUUUUAAUUUAUUCUAAUCUGUAUGGGUUAUUAUCAAAUAAUUUGUAUUACAAUCACACAAUCUAUAUCUUGAAACAAGCUUGUAUAUUUAUAGUAUAUGUUUGGACUCAUGAUGUUAGAGAGAUGAAAUUUCACUAAGAUUAAAAGAUGAUCUACAACUAAGUUUAAACAGAAGAUAAGACCAGAACUAUUAUUUGGUUCAUCGAUCCUCGCUUUUCAAUACAACAUAAGUAUCGCAGUCCACUAAAAAUAGAAAUGUCAAUCAUUCACAAACCCAUUCAUCAUUCACAAACCCAUUCACAAACCCAUUAAAUCAUUCACAAACCUAUUCAACAUUAUUGAAAUUCACAGCAAUUAUUCAAACCAAUUAAAUCAAACCAUCAUUCACAAACCAUCAUUAAGAAAUUACAAAUCAAAAAAUCAAAUGAAAAACGAAAAAAAUGAAAAAAAUGAAAAAUUGAAAUCCACAUACCUUCACAGAUCGAACCGGAGAGGGCGAUCACAGAGACGUCGAGAACCGGCGGGGAGACAGGCGGAGAGCAGCGGCGAUUUCUUCACCGAAAUCCUUUAUUCAAAUACAAUAUUCAACAUUAGCGAUUUAAACAUAUAUUCUAAAUAGAUCAAAAUGUAAAUUGAUUAAUUCCAGUAUAAAUUCCAGUAAAUCUAAACAUGGUGAAUAGAUCGAUUAAUUCCAGUAAAUAGAUCAAAAUGUAAACAUUACAUUGAAUAGAUUAAAAAUAGAAGAUACCCAAAGAUUAAAAAUAUAUGGACAUGGAAUAUAUUAAUACAAUCAAAGAUAAACAAUCAAAGAUACCCAAAAACAAUCAAAGAUACCCUAAAAAAACAAAAUCAAAAUCAAAAAUAUAAAACAAAUAUUAAAACAUAUAAGUAAUAUAUCUCACCAAAGCAAGAAGGGACCGACCAAAGGAAGAACGGACAGACCAAAGCAAGAACGGCCACCACCGGAGGCGAGAUCGGAGUCGGCGACGGCGGACGGAGUCGGAACAGAACGGCGGCACGGACGAAUCGACGGGAACAGAACGGCGGCAGCACUUCACUCCAAAGCAAGACAGAACAAACGCGUUCUGUCUGGAUUUGGGGUUUUUAAUAAACCCCAAAUCUUACAUGGCGGAAAUCCGCCAUGUAAGUACACUUAAGUGCCGCCAGCACUUAAGUGAAAGUCCGCCCAAUCGAAAUUUGGGCGGGCUUUUUCCGCCCGAGUCCCCGAUGACUUAAGAUGGCGGAUUUCCGCCAUCUUAAGUCAUUUUAAUCGGGUAAUCGGGCUGGAAAUUGGGGGAGAUUCGAAAUUUUGGGCGGGAUAGUUUAGAUGGCGGAUUUCCGUCAUCUAAACACCGCCAUCGAAAAAAAUUCCGAACCGCCGUCGAGCCAAAACGU